CCGGGUGCCUAUGGCCUUGAGGCCCCACUCCGAUCCCUUCCCGAACUCGGUUGUGAAACUCAAGUACGGCCACGAUACUUGGAGGGUUGCCUCCUGGGACAAUAGCUCGCUGCCCGGU
RNAcentral lists this ribosomal RNA (118 nucleotides) under Oxynema mangrovii CENA135. Lineage: Bacteria; Bacillati; Cyanobacteriota; Cyanophyceae; Oscillatoriales; Oscillatoriaceae. The record is from RNAcentral. RNAcentral also lists the same sequence under 1 other name.